CUCUGGUUGAUCCUGCCAGAGGCCACUGCUAUCGGAGUUCGAUUAAGCCAUGCGAGUCGAGAGGUGCAAGACCUCGGCAUACUGCUCAGUAACACGUGGACAACCUACCCUAUGGAGGGGGAUAACCCCGGGAAACUGGGGAUAAUACCCCAUAGACUAUGGAAGCUGGAAUGCUCUGUAGUUGAAAGGUCCGCCGCCAUAGGAUGGGUCUGCGGCCGAUUAGGUUGUUGUUGGGGUAACGGCCCAACAAGCCUGUAAUCGGUACGGGUUGUGGGAGCAAGAGCCCGGAGAUGGAUUCUGAGACACGAAUCCAGGCCCUACGGGGCGCAGCAGGCGCGAAAACUUUGCAAUGCGAGAAAUCGUGACAAGGGAACUCCGAGUGCCCGUAAAAUCGGGCUGUCCAUCUGUUUAAAUAACAGGUGAAGAAAGGGCCGGGCAAGACCGGUGCCAGCCGCCGCGGUAAUACCGGCGGCUCGAGUGGUGGCCACUAUUACUGGGAUUAAAGCGUUCGUAGCUGGUCUGUUAAGUCUCUGGGGAAAUUUACUGGCUUAACCAAUAGGCGUCUCAGGGAUACUGGCAGACUAGGGACCGGGAGAGGUGAGAGGUACUCCAGGGGUAGGAGUGAAAUCCUGUAAUCCUUGGGGGACCACCUGUGGCGAAGGCGUCUCACCAGAACGGCUCCGACAGUGAGGGACGAAAGCUGGGGGAGCAAACCGGAUUAGACACCCGGGUAGUCCUAGCCGUAAACGAUACUCGCUAGGUGUCGGCCACGGUGCGACCGUUGUCGGUGCCGUAGGGAAGCCGUGAAGCGAGCCACCUGGGAAGUACGGCCGCAAGGCUGAAACUUAAAGGAAUUGGCGG
RNAcentral lists this ribosomal RNA (861 nucleotides) under uncultured archaeon. RNAcentral's name for it is "bacterial SSU rRNA". It matches the Rfam family "Archaeal small subunit ribosomal RNA", at positions 1 to 871 of the family's 1478-position model. The record is from RNAcentral.